Molecule: ribosomal RNA, 371 nt
Filed under: uncultured bacterium
Lineage: Bacteria
Description: bacterial SSU rRNA
Rfam family: Bacterial small subunit ribosomal RNA
Source: RNAcentral
GGAGGGUGCGAGCGUUAUCCGGAAUCACUGGGUUUAAAGGGUGCGUAGGCGGCGAGGUAAGUCAGUUGUGAAAUUCCCCGGCUCAACCGGCGGGACUGCGAUUGAUACUGCUUUGCUUGAAACAGGUUGAGGUAAGCGGAAUGUGGCAUGUAGCGGUGAAAUGCAUAGAUAUGCCAUAGAACACCGAUUGCGAAGGCAGCUUGCUGGGCCUGAUUUGACGCUGAGGCACGAAAGCGUGGGGAGCAAACAGGAUUAGAUACCCUGGUAGUCCACGCCCUAAACGAUGUUUACUUGCUGUUCCUGGCUAGACUGGGAGUGGCGUAGCGAAAGCGAUAAGUAAACCACCUGGGGAGUACGCCGGCAACGGUGAA